This 465-nucleotide ribosomal RNA is filed under the name uncultured bacterium. RNAcentral's name for it is "partial 16S ribosomal RNA". It matches the Rfam family "Bacterial small subunit ribosomal RNA", at positions 28 to 507 of the family's 1533-position model. The record is from RNAcentral.
GACGAACGCUGGCGGCGUGCUUAACACAUGCAAGUCGAACGCUGAACCCGCUUCGGUGGGGGAUGAGUGGCGAACGGGUGAGUAACACGUGGGCAACCUGCCCCCGGCUCUGGGAUAACUCCAAGAAAUUGGGGCUAAUACCGGAUGUGACCGCUGGCCGCAUGGUCUGGUGGUGGAAAGGGUUUCCGGCUGGGGAUGGGCCUGCGGCCUAUCAGCUUGUUGGUGGGGUAGUGGCCUACCAAGGCGACGACGGGUAGCCGGCCUGAGAGGGUGACCGGCCACACUGGGACUGAGACACGGCCCAGACUCCUACGGGAGGCAGCAGUGGGGAAUAUUGCGCAAUGGGCGGAAGCCUGACGCAGCGACGCCGCGUGGGGGAUGACGGCCUUCGGGUUGUAAACCUCUUUCAGCAGGGACGAAGCGCAAGUGACGGUACCUGCAGAAGAAGCACCGGCCAACUACGUG